CAGCUCUGGUUUCCCUUCAAAACGCAUAAAUCUUUCUACCUUUUACUAAAGAUUUCAGUAAGAGGAACAACUCAAUGAGUCUUACUCAUUUUUUCUAUAGCCCCACACUUCGGUAGGUU
Molecule: small nuclear RNA, 119 nt
Filed under: Penaeus japonicus
Lineage: Eukaryota; Metazoa; Arthropoda; Malacostraca; Decapoda; Penaeidae
Description: U5 spliceosomal RNA
Rfam family: U5 spliceosomal RNA
About the family: U5 RNA is a component of both types of known spliceosome. The precise function of this molecule is unknown, though it is known that the 5' loop is required for splice site selection and p220 binding, and that both the 3' stem-loop and the Sm site are important for Sm protein binding and cap methylation.
Source: RNAcentral